Long non-coding RNA from Pomacea canaliculata, 1418 nucleotides. RefSeq lists it as uncharacterized. NCBI's taxonomy places the organism in Eukaryota, Metazoa, Mollusca, Gastropoda, Architaenioglossa, Ampullariidae. The transcript is spliced from 2 exons. The record is from RefSeq and is a predicted model, not a curated record.
CGGCUCGUCAGCUGGUGUCGGCUGUUGACUCUACUCAAGAUAGCUGGAGGCCCAGUCUCUCAUGUCGAUGGAUGAUACACCAUCAUGUUUGCGCCAUUUAGGGUUACACCUUCAAAGUCAAACUAAUUCAGAUGCUCGAACUGUAACUGAGACCUCUCCUUACAAACCACCAUCUUCUUCAGAGGGUAAAGGAGCAUAACCAAAUGGGGAAAAAAAUCAUGUUUCCAUUGGACAGAAGUCGCAGGUAGAUGACAGGUGGUGUGGCGAUGACAGCAAGCAGUUGUGGGCAGUAGUGCGAUCACGGAUCUUGGGAAAUCCACCGCUUUGAUUGUACGUGGCGCUCCCAUGACCCGCGGCCACAAACGCCAGGGACGUGAACAGGUCUCCUCCAGCUCAUCGCUUCCCUCUUCUCUUUCGUUUCACACGCUGUGACUACGUUUUUAAUUCAAAUGCCGGUCGAAAGAAAGUCCACGGGAGACAAGAACCGAGUUCAACUUAAAGUGCAACUCAGCCAACGGAACCCAACAGACCGCCAAGAGAACGUUGGCCUUCAUUUGUAAUGAACUGAAUAAGAUCCAACAAGACACGGCAGCUGGUGCAAGGGUCAAAGACUUUGUUAUCACCAGUGCCCGACUUCGUGAGUUCAACUGAUAACACCAAGAUUUCAGCAAGGAGAGACAAAGCCAUAUAUGUGCAGGUCACGUUCUGAAUGAAACAAUGAGAUGAAUAAAAUGGUCUUUCUAAUUUUUGUUCGAAGUUACAAGCAGCAACGCAUCAUCCCCAUCUUUCCUUUCUUCUCAUUUCUCACUAUCCCACUAUCUUUAGACACAUACACAUAUGUGCACACACUCAUGCACACAUGCACACAUGCACGCACUUUCAUACACAUACACACAUAAGCGCACACACACGCACGUACGCACGUUCACACACACAUGCACACAACAAAGCACACACAUCUGUAAAAAAUCUCUUCAUUUAGUUCUGACUCGCUUUAAUAAAUUCAGGCUAAAGUACAAGCAUUAUACGAUAGUAAAUACUAAAAUACUUAGAAACAACAGGAAAUAUUUUCAAAAGUAAAAAUAUUCAACCUGUAAGUCAUCUUCUUCGGUUAUAAAGAAUUUCAAAGGUCCGUCUUGCUGGGAUUCCGGUCGAAACCUUUUUAUUGAUGAUUUAUAUUAGGCGGUUUAUUAUCUAAACACACGUUUUCUUGGCAUUAAAAGUUUUUUUUUUUUAAAUAAUACAUUUUUUUUCAUUCUAUCGCUCAAAGCUCUGUACAAAAAGGACUGGAAAGAGAAGACCCAAAGUUUCAAAUACUUGAUUGAAUAUUAAACAAUUGCAGCAGUUAACGUAGCACAACGGAAACACUGAACAAGAAGAUAAACCCAAGCAUUCAAAAAAAAAAAAACCAGGUUCAA